CCUACGGGAGGCAGCAGUAGGGAAUAUUGGGCAAUGGUCGCAAGACUGACCCAGCCAUGCCGCGUGCAGGAAGACGGCCCUCUGGGUUGUAAACUGCUUUUAUCUGGGAAGAAAAAGUCCAUGCGUGGAAAAUUGCCGGUACCAGAUGAAUAAGCACCGGCUAACUCCGUGCCAGCAGCCGCGGUAAUACGGAGGGUGCGAGCGUUAAUCGGAAUUACUGGGCGUAAAGCGUGCGCAGGCGGUUUUGUAAGACAGGUGUGAAAACCCCGGGCUCAACCUGGGAACUGCAUUUGUGACUGCAAGACUAGAGUACGGUAGAGGGGGAUGGAAUUCCGCGUGUAGCAGUGAAAUGCGUAGAUAUGCGGAGGAACACCGAUGGCGAAGGCAAUCCCCUGGACCUGUACUGACGCUCAUGCACGAAAGCGUGGGGAGCAAACAGGAUUAGAUACCCUGGUAGUCCACGCCCUAAACGAUGUCUACUAGUUGUUGGUGGAGUAAAAUCCAUGAGUAACGCAGCUAACGCGUGAAGUAGACCGCCUGGGGAGUACGGUCGCAAGAUUAAAACUCAAAUGAAUUGACGG
RNAcentral lists this ribosomal RNA (581 nucleotides) under uncultured beta proteobacterium. RNAcentral describes it as "bacterial SSU rRNA". It matches the Rfam family "Bacterial small subunit ribosomal RNA", at positions 338 to 916 of the family's 1533-position model. Lineage: Bacteria; Pseudomonadati; Pseudomonadota; Betaproteobacteria. The record is from RNAcentral.